AAAUCUGGUUCCGAUACCCGUGGUGAGCACAUAUUGCCCAUUGCGUAGCUUUGCGCUUAACUGUAAGCAAACAAAGUAUAAGCAAGAUUUGACGAUAAAGUGCCACUACCGCGUGAAAAAAAGAAUCUUCUUUCGAAUACCCAUCCUUUCAAAUUAGUUGAGACAAACAUUUAUAAAAUGUUAUCAAUGAGCUUGUAGCUUAAUCUGUGUUUAACUAACAAUUCAAAAACCAAUUUUAACUCACAAUUUCAACUUUAUCUGUUUCGCAAUGAUGAUUUUAAGCAGCAUCGGUUUCGUUUAGUCACUCGGGUUGCCUCGGAACUCAAUGCUGAUUACCUAACGAACUAGAAAUUGCUUAUUGUUAAACAAAGAAUAAGAGACAGGUAUCCCUCCUUCAAAGUCAAUUAUUCUUCUAGAAUUUAAACUAUUUAUUAUUGUUAUUACGUGUGAAAAAUGUUUUGUUUUGUAUUAAAAUAGCUAACUAUGAAUUAGAGUUCGUUUAGUUCGAGAACAAAGCACUUCCCGAACAUAAGUACGGACUUGACGUCACGACCGCGUGACUUGUGGCGAAGAAACAUGCAACAAGCUUUUCCACGAGAAACAGUGUUCCAGUUUUACUCAUUUUUGUAUUGCAUUGUAUCCUGAAGAAGACGUAUGUCGAAAUAGAGGUAUUAAAGAAUAACAUUAUUUUGUCUAAAGUUACAGCUUGUUUCUUUUUUUUUUUAUUAAAUACGUAGUUUGGUUAUUUGAAAACGACACCUGGUAAGCGCGUGGUUUAGAAAGUGUUGCUGGAAAUAAUGCAGUCUAUCUAACAUGUGCAUUAAAAACACCUGCUACUUCAAAUAAUCAUGAUACCUUAGAAUGUAUGUGUGUUUACAGUAACAGGCGGACAUUUGUCUUUUCAUAUUCUGCUUACAUAGGUUUGAUUAAUUAGGGUAACAUGACGUACGAUGUUGAAUAGUACAAGUUACUAAAAAAGAGAGAUAUUUAUUUCUAUAUGUAUAUUUAACGUUUUUUCUUUAUUGUGAUAGAUCAAAAUUUUCAAUUGCAUAUCCCCGUAAAUUAUUAUUCUAUGAUCUUUGAUCAGAUCGGAUUUCACGCAUUACUCUGUAAAAAAAAAAAAA
This is a long non-coding RNA of Limulus polyphemus (Atlantic horseshoe crab), 1124 nucleotides long. RefSeq lists it as uncharacterized. The record is from RefSeq and is a predicted model, not a curated record. The transcript has 2 exons. NCBI's taxonomy places the organism in Eukaryota, Metazoa, Arthropoda, Merostomata, Xiphosura, Limulidae.